CAUUGCUUGAAAAUACAAUGAAUCAUAAGCCUCUGUUUCGGCUAUGUUUAGCUGAAUGACUUCUAAAUUAUUUUUCGCAUAUAUUAUUACACCUCCUCCUUUGUUGUGUAAACGACACUUAGCAAACGCAUUGUAACCAUUUAUAGCUACUUCACCUAAGUGAUGUUUAUCGCGCAUAUUCAGCCAUGUUUCCGUAAUCAAAAUGAAGUCGGGUUUUUCACUAAUUGCAUGUAUUAUCAAGUGGCUACCGGGCAGUUACAUAAAAGAUGUUGAAUUUAUUCGUCGAGUGUGCGCCAUCUAUCAACUGUUGUUUCACUGGAAUAUUCACUGGAAUAGCGCGUCAGACCUGACUACCUUCAAUUACCCCUAACUCACCAACCACCUGCGUGGCUGUUGAUCUCACUGCUACCUCAGUACCCCUCACCUGUGGGUCUGGUGACCUGACAUCCUGCGCAGUACUGUACACCUGCGGCCUGACCUCAAUAUCAGGGUGUGGUUUCCUCCCGGCUAAGCCGGAAGCCACCUCACCACGUUGCUGCACCUGUCUUAGCUCUUUCGAAAUUUCCUCAUCUAAAAGGAGAAGCAGGAGACGGAGGAAGAGGAGAAGAUGCACGUAAGAAGACAUAACACCUGAAUGUCAACAAGUCCGUAAGCGAGAGGGACAGGAGGCACGAAGCAGCAGCAAAAUUUCAACACUUUAUUGUGUCAGGACACUUCCAGGCGCUGCCCUGGCCAUUCACGCCGCCGCAGCGACACAACCAUUGCAGAGGGAGCACACAGACCAAGAUAUAUACUGAUAAACAUUACAGAGGAUUCACACAGACCAAGAUAUAUACAUUGAUAAACAUUACAGAGGGAGAACACAGACCAAGAUAUAUAUUGAUAAACAUUACAGAGGGGUCACACAGACCAAUAUAUAUAUUGAUAAACAUUACAGAGGGGUCACACAGACCAAGAUAUAUAUUGAUAAACAUUGCAGAGGGAUCACACAGACCAAGAUAUAUAUUGAUAAACAUUACAGAGGAUUCAACACAGACCAAGAUAUAUAUUGAUAAACAUUACAGAGGGGUCACACAGACCAAGA
Long non-coding RNA from Eriocheir sinensis (Chinese mitten crab), 1084 nucleotides. RefSeq lists it as uncharacterized. NCBI's taxonomy places the organism in Eukaryota, Metazoa, Arthropoda, Malacostraca, Decapoda, Varunidae. The transcript is spliced from 2 exons. The record is from RefSeq and is a predicted model, not a curated record.